This is a long non-coding RNA of Centruroides sculpturatus (bark scorpion), 1079 nucleotides long. RefSeq lists it as uncharacterized. The record is from RefSeq and is a predicted model, not a curated record. The transcript has 2 exons. NCBI's taxonomy places the organism in Eukaryota, Metazoa, Arthropoda, Arachnida, Scorpiones, Buthidae.
GUUUUGCCUGCUUUAAAAAAGUACCUGAUACGUUCUGACAUGAUUACACCGCUGAUUGAAGUGAUGAUAGGGGUAGGGUCACUGCUAAAAUAUCAUUUAAAUGCAUUUUCUUCUGACUUACGAGGCCGAAACUUCGAAGAUUGGCACUAUAAGUUCUCAAAGUGGAUGAAAUUUGAGUUGCGAGGUUUCAGGUUAAACAAAAAGUAUUUCAGUUAAUUGUGAUAAAUAAUAAUAAUGUAGAGACAGAUACUAUGCUUCGUCGCGGUUACUCGAUAAUUUCGAAUUUUUCUCGUCGCUUAUAGACACCGUUUUUUCCAGUUCAUAACACGUAAUUCUAUUAAUUAUCUCGAUUAAUAAACCGGUAAGUACAUUUAAUAACAUGCCACCUUUCGUUUCGUUUUUGUUUUCGCAGGAGAGAUUGCAUUUUUGACGAAUGCCGAGCUGGAAGAAAUCGGUCGGUGUUUAGAUCCGCCCAACGAAGGAUGGAGAGUCUUGGCCGCCUUCGUGGUAGACGAACAAUUCAUCGAAAUCGUAGGGAAAUAUAAUAGUCCGACGAAGAAAUUGUUAAACAUGUUUCAGGGCGAUCGGAGCGCCUUCAGAAACCUUUUGAUCGACGCCGGUCUGGACACUGCCAGAAGGAUUCUGCGCUGAACAUCUCCCUCUUCUCCCCAGUGCAUAACCCGUCAGGACCGAGAGGAAGACCGUCGCCGGUGUCACCAGUUAGUGUCCGACAAGGUUAUUAGAAUUACAAGAUUGCCUGACUUUGAUGCUUAUUGCUCGUGCAUAGCCUAUCGUGACUUCGAGGAGAGGAUUUUGAUCGGCUUGGACAUGGUGAAACUAUGUGAAAAAUGAGCGGAUACGUGUCCGAGCUUUUUGCCAAUUUGCCUUGAAAAUAUUAGUUUUUGAUGUUUCAAAAUUCAAAGAUUUGCAACGUAUAGUUGUAAGAGGUAAUGGAAAGAACAUCCGUAGGGUAGUUGUUAAAUUGUCAUUAAUUUAUGCCGACAGUUGUAACUUGUUUCAGUUUUCUUUCCUUUUUUAUUACUUAAUUUUUACCUAAUAAUAAAAUAAAUAUCCAAAUG